Molecule: unclassified non-coding RNA, 168 nt
Filed under: Aspergillus niger
Lineage: Eukaryota; Fungi; Ascomycota; Eurotiomycetes; Eurotiales; Aspergillaceae
Description: sequence contains ITS1
Source: RNAcentral
GCGGGCCCGCCGCUUGUCGGCCGCCGGGGGGGCGCCUUUGCCCCCCGGGCCCGUGCCCGCCGGAGACCCCAACACGAACACUGUCUGAAAGCGUGCAGUCUGAGUUGAUUGAAUGCAAUCAGUUAAAACUUUCAACAAUGGAUCUCUUGGUUCCGGCAUCGAUGAAGA